Molecule: ribosomal RNA, 1917 nt
Filed under: Triticum aestivum (bread wheat)
Lineage: Eukaryota; Viridiplantae; Streptophyta; Magnoliopsida; Poales; Poaceae
Description: partial small subunit ribosomal RNA
Source: RNAcentral
AUGCCGAGCGCGGGGAGGCGGCUGCCGCCGUGGACGUCGCCGAGGGGCGCGGCGGAGAGGUGGAGCCCCGGCACCCCCGCCGGCUUCGCCGGCCCCAGGAGCCACAUCACCCCGCCCCUGAGCGCCGGCUGCUGCUCCUACCGCGUCACCCCGCCGGCGAGCGGCGGCGGGUGCUCCCGGCCGCCGAGGGCGCCGCCGGCGCUGGAUUCCCCGUACGUGAGGGCGAAGCAGGCGCAGUUAAUUGAAAAAGAUCCAAACAAGGCAGUUUCAUUGUUCUGGGCAGCUAUUAAUAGUGGUGAACGAACUGAGAGUGCACUGAAGGAUAUGGCUACUGUACUGAAACAAGCAAAUAGGGCUGAAGAAGCCAUUGAAGCGAUAAGAUCCUUCCGUGACCGUUGUCCCAAUGAAGCCCAGGAGUCUCUUGACAAUAUUCUUCUUGACUUGUACAAGAAAUGCGGUAGGACAAAAGAGCAGAUUGAAAUGCUGACAGUGAAGCUGAGAAUGAUUGAUGAGGAUCUAGCUUCUGGCCGGUGGAAAACUAAGCUUUCUAAAACUCAUGGAAGAGUAUUCUAUCUCUCUCUCAGGGAUGAAAAGGCAAGGUUGCUGGGUAACCUCGCCUGGGCCUAUAUGCAGUCUGAAAACUAUGAGGAAGCUGAAAUGCUAUACAGGCAAGCUCUUGCUAUAGAAACUGAUUAUAACAAAGAGUGCAAUCUAGCCAUCUGCAUGAUGAAGAUGGGAAAGGUAGCUGAAGCUAAAUACCUUCUCCAAGCUAUACCUUACAACUGCAAUGAUGAAAACCACGUGAGAUCUUUUGCCCGGGCUACUGAAGUGCUUAGGGAACUCGAGUCACAGGCACUCCCUUCUCCCAUAACUCAGAUGAAGUCUAAAGAUUCACGGAUUUUGCUUGCUACUGAUGUGGGGAACCUUGAAUAUCUACAUCCACUAAUAUUCUCUGCUUCAACUCAAUUGAAUUAUGAAGAACCGCAAGCUUCAGUUUCGGCGGAUACAGAGAAUCAUCAAGAUUGCAACUCACACGCGCUUCCAUCUCCGAUAACUCAGAUGAAGCGUAAAGAACCACAGCUUAUGGUUGCUACUGAUGGAGAGAAGAAUGGACAAAGUCUGGAGGAGUACCAUGAUCUUUCUAGACUGUUCAAUGAUGCUGCCACACCACAGUCUCUACUUGAGAAACUACGAAAGCGGCUGGUCAAAAAGGACAGACCCAAUAUCAGCGGGCAGAAUCAAGCUCAGACUCCUAGCCCGGCUGAAUGCUUGCAAAACUCUGUUGGCGCCAUAAUAGAUGCUAGUGAGAAUCCUAUGCAAGAGGGGAAGGGCUUGGUUGGUGGUGGUAGAAAAACGUGGGCCGACAUGGUGGAGGAGGAUGAACAGAAGCAGCUGGCCGAUGGCAAGAACACCACCGCCCCGCAAGGUAAAAGCAGCAAGCAUGCGAGUGAGCAGAGGGACAAAACACCAUCCUCAUCAUCUCAAGGAAGCAGCAGCCUCAAAACCCCAGCCGCGGGUAUUCGGCCACAGAGCUCAUCAGUGGGUUCAUGGAGACGCAAUGACUCGGCCGGAAUCUCAACAGACGAGAAUGCGAACCGGAGUUUCGUCAGGACAGCUCCAGCAUGGAAGCAGCGGAAGGUUCAAGAUCGCGGCGACCGAGUCUGCCAAAGGCUUAACACGACCCAUCUCAGUGAGAAAGCUCGAGGCGCCGAUCAGACACCAAGCUCAGUGAGAAGCAGUGCAGCUCAGCGUUCGCUUUUCCAUGGGCAGGUACCAUUUGGUGUUGAUGGACGCUCUCAGGGUGCCAGUCACAGCCGUUGGCCUGAGAACCCGUCGAGCACAGGACCGUGGAGGCCACCGUACCGCCGGCGGGCCUUCCAGGAAAUCACAAACGAGAUGAAGCAAAAUGUUGCAUAG